RNAcentral lists this ribosomal RNA (478 nucleotides) under uncultured bacterium. RNAcentral describes it as "partial 16S ribosomal RNA". It matches the Rfam family "Bacterial small subunit ribosomal RNA", at positions 28 to 523 of the family's 1533-position model. The record is from RNAcentral.
GACGAACGCUGGCGGCGUGCUUAACACAUGCAAGUCGAACGGUAAGGCCCUUCGGGGUACACGAGUGGCGAACGGGUGAGUAACACGUGGGUGAUCUGCCCUGCACUUCGGGAUAAGCCUGGGAAACUGGGUCUAAUACCGGAUAGGACCACUGCCUGCAUGGGUGGUGGUGGAAAGCUUUUGCGGUUUGGGAUGGGCCCGCGGCCUAUCAGCUUGUUGGUGGGGUGAGGGCCUACCAAGGCGACGACGGGUAGCCGGCCUGAGAGGGUGACCGGCCCAACUGGGACUCAGAGACGGCCCAGACUCCGCCGGGAGGCAGCGGUGGGGAAUAGUGCACAAUGGGCGCAAGCCUGAUGCAGCGACGCCGCGUGAGGGAUGACGGCCUUCGGGUUGUAAACCUCUUUCAGCACCGACGAAGCGCAAGUGACGGUAGGUGCAGAAGAAGGACCGGCCAACUACGUGCCAGCAGCCGCCGUAA